CGCGGCCUAUCAGCUUGUUGGUGAGGUAACGGCUCACCAAGGCAUCGACGGGUAGCUGGUCUGAGAGGACGAUCAGCCACACUGGGACUGAGACACGGCCCAGACUCCUACGGGAGGCAGCAGUAGGGAAUCUUGCGCAAUGGGCGAAAGCCUGACGCAGCAACGCCGCGUGGGGGAUGAAUGCCUUCGGGUUGUAAACCCCUUUCAGCAGGGACGAAAAUGACGGUACCUGCAGAAGAAGCUCCGGCCAACUACGUGCCAGCAGCCGCGGUAAUACGUAGGGAGCGAGCGUUGUCCGGAAUUAUUGGGCGUAAAGAGCUCGUAGGCGGUUCAGUAAGUCGGGUGUGAAAACUCAAGGCUCAACCUUGAGACGCCACUCGAUGCUGCUGUGACUUGAGUCCGGUAGAGGAGUGUGGAAUUCCUGGUGUAGCGGUGAAAUGCGCAGAUAUCAGGAGGAACACCAGCGGCGAAGGCGGCACUCUGGGCCGGUACUGACGCUGAGGAGCGAAAGCAUGGGGAGCAAACAGGAUUAGAUACCCUGGUAGUCCAUGCCGUAAACGUUGGGCACUAGGUAUGGGAUCAUAUCAACGGAUUCCGUGCCGUAGCUAACGCAUUAAGUGCCCCGCCUGGGGAGUACGG
This 639-nucleotide ribosomal RNA is filed under the name uncultured Actinomycetes bacterium. RNAcentral describes it as "bacterial SSU rRNA". It matches the Rfam family "Bacterial small subunit ribosomal RNA", at positions 232 to 885 of the family's 1533-position model. Lineage: Bacteria; Bacillati; Actinomycetota; Actinomycetes. The record is from RNAcentral.